UAAAUACUCCUGACUGACCGAUAGUGAACCAGUACCGUGAGGGAAAGGCGAAAAGAACCCCGGCGAGGGGAGUGAAAAAGAACCUGAAACCGUGUACGUACAAGCAGUGGGAGCCUCUUUAUGGGGUGACUGCGUACCUUUUGUAUAAUGGGUCAGCGACUUAUAUUCUGUAGCAAGGUUAACCGAAUAGGGGAGCCGAAGGGAAACCGAGUCUUAACUGGGCGUUAAGUUGCAGGGUAUAGACCCGAAACCCGGUGAUCUAGCCAUGGGCAGGUUGAAGGUUGGGUAACACUAACUGGAGGACCGAACCGACUAAUGUUGAAAAAUUAGCGGAUGACUUGUGGCUGGGGGUGAAAGGCCAAUCAAACCGGGAGAUAGCUGGUUCUCCCCGAAAGCUAUUUAGGUAGCGCCUCGUGAAUUCAUCUCCGGGGGUAGAGCACUGUUUCGGCAAGGGGGUCAUCCCGACUUACCAACCCGAUGCAAACUGCGAAUACCGGAGAAUGUUAUCACGGGAGACACACGGCGGGUGCUAACGUCCGUCGUGAAGAGGGAAACAACCCAGACCGCCAGCUAAGGUCCCAAAGUCAUGGUUAAGUGGGAAACGAUGUGGGAAGGCCCAGACAGCCAGGAUGUUGGCUUAGAAGCAGCCAUCAUUUAAAGAAAGCGUAAUAGCUCACUGGUCGAGUCGGCCUGCGCGGAAGAUGUAACGGGGCUAAACCAUGCAC
RNAcentral lists this ribosomal RNA (725 nucleotides) under Escherichia coli. RNAcentral's name for it is "partial 23S ribosomal RNA". It matches the Rfam family "Bacterial large subunit ribosomal RNA", at positions 467 to 1194 of the family's 2925-position model. Lineage: Bacteria; Pseudomonadati; Pseudomonadota; Gammaproteobacteria; Enterobacterales; Enterobacteriaceae. The record is from RNAcentral.